CGGCUAAGGGGACAACAAGGUUAACCAAAAUAGUAAGGAGGGAAUGAAGGCGAACAGUGAGGCAACCAAGGCGCCCAUCCUGAUCAUAAUCGUUCGAGUGGAGGGUCUAUUGCCCUUCACCACAACCAUCAUGGAUGCCCCUAUGCCUAGGAAGUCGACGUCCCCGACGUUCGAAAAGUACAAUGGAUCAACCGACCUGGUCGACCACCUUCGGUCCUUUGUGAACGCCAUGGC
Molecule: long non-coding RNA, 234 nt
Filed under: Vigna radiata
Lineage: Eukaryota; Viridiplantae; Streptophyta; Magnoliopsida; Fabales; Fabaceae
Description: long non-coding RNA (VRAD_LNC013661)
Source: RNAcentral